This 900-nucleotide ribosomal RNA is filed under the name Triticum aestivum (bread wheat). Its description in RNAcentral is "partial small subunit ribosomal RNA". The record is from RNAcentral. Lineage: Eukaryota; Viridiplantae; Streptophyta; Magnoliopsida; Poales; Poaceae.
AUGAAAAGCUUAUCUUGGGCUCUUGCAGCUGCUAAGAAUUUCUAUAGAUGGGUCCCUGGGGAUGGGAAUAGCAUUGCCUUCUGGCAUGACAUUUGGACAAGAGAUUGUUCUCUAAAAACUGCAUUUUGGGGCCUUUAUAAUAUUUGCCAGCAGCAAGAUGCUACCCUAGCGCAGGUCUGGGUGGAUGGUGAGCUGCGGUUAACAUUUAGGAGAUGUGUCACAGAGAAUGCGUUAGUUAAAUGGGGGGAACUUGUCAAGAUUGUUGAACCUGUUCGUCUAUCUGGAUCUCCAGAUCAACCCCUUUGGAUGCUGGACUCCUCUAACAAAUACUCGGUCAAAUCCUUUUAUAAGCUAAUAAACUUUGGAGGGAUUCCUUCUGCUAUUAAGGAUGAUAUAUGGAAAAUCAAAGUGCCACCGAAUAUACAUGUUUUUCUUUGGCUGAUUUAUUAUGACAAAAGCUUGACCAGAGACAAUUUGGCCAAGCGGAGACAUGUUGAGGACAUGUCAUGUGUCUUUUGCAACGAACCUGAGACUAUCCAACAUCUGUUCUUUGACUGUAUUGUUGCUGAAAAUGUUUGGAAGCUGGUUGGUGAUAUCUUUAGGAUUGAUAUUCCUAACUCUUUUGAUCGAUUAACUUCCUUUUGGAAGAGAAGAAAACAUCUUGAAGCUUUGAACAUUGUUACUGCUGCUGCCUUGUGGAGCUUAUGGCGUUUUCGAAAUGAUUUUGUUUUCCAGGGACGAAGAUGGCGAAGUAUACGGUGUGUCUUGGACCUGUUGGGGGCGACGAUCAAGAAAUGGAAAAUACUCUGUUCAGAAGCUCAGGGUGCGCUACUUCUCCGGUGCUUAAGGCUUUUGGACCACCGAAGAGGGGAAUUGCUUAGAAUCGCGUGGAGAUCUUAG